Molecule: ribosomal RNA, 253 nt
Filed under: uncultured bacterium
Lineage: Bacteria
Description: partial 16S ribosomal RNA
Rfam family: Bacterial small subunit ribosomal RNA
Source: RNAcentral
UACAGAAGGUGCGAGCGUUAAUCGGAAUUACUGGGCGUAAAGGGUGCGUAGGUGGUUUUGUAAGUUAAGUGUGAAAGUCCCGGGCUAAACCUGGGGAUUGCGCCUAAUACUGCAAAGCUAGAGUACUGUAGAGGAAAGUGGAAUUUCCAGUGUAGCGGUGAAAUGCGUAGAUAUUGGAAGGAACAUCAGUGGCGAAGGCGACUUUCUGGACAGAUACUGACACUGAGGCACGAAAGCGUGGGGAGCAAACAGG